GAUGAACGCUGGCGGCGUGCCUAAUACAUGCAAGUCGAGCGAACAGACGAGGAGCUUGCUCCUCUGACGUUAGCGGCGGACGGGUGAGUAACACGUGGAUAACCUACCUAUAAGACUGGGAUAACUUCGGGAAACCGGAGCUAAUACCGGAUAAUAUAUUGAACCGCAUGGUUCAAUAGUGAAAGACGGUUUUGCUGUCACUUAUCGAUGGAUCCGCGCCGCAUUAGCUAGUUGGUAAGGUAACGGCUUACCAAGGCAACGAGGCGUAGCCGACCUGAGAGGGUGAUAGGCCACACUGGAACUGAGACACGGUCAAGACUCCUACGGGAGGCAGCAGUAGGGAAUCUUCCGCAAUGGGCGAAAGCUUGACGGAGCAACGCCGCGUGAGUGAUGAAGGUCUUCGGAUCGUAAAACUCUGUUAUUAGGGAAGAACAAAUGUGUAAGUAACUAUGCACGUAUUGACGGUACCUAAUAAGAAAGCAACGGCUAACUACGUG
Molecule: ribosomal RNA, 497 nt
Filed under: uncultured bacterium
Lineage: Bacteria
Description: partial 16S ribosomal RNA
Rfam family: Bacterial small subunit ribosomal RNA
Source: RNAcentral